CCCUUAGAUGUUCUGGGCCGCACACGCGCUACACUGAAGGAGGCAGCGUGUACUCCUGGAUCGAAAGAUUUGGGUAACCCGCGAAUCUCCUUCGUGCUAGGGAUUGAGGUUUGCAAUUAUCCUUCAUGAACGAGGAAUUCCCAGUAAGUGCAAGUCAUAAGCUUGCACUGACUACGUCCCUGCCCUUUGUACACACCGCCCGUCGCUACUACCGAUUGAAUGAUUUAGUGAGGACUUCGGACUGGGACCGAUGCGGCUUUCGGGCUGCGUCGGUAUUCUGGAAAGAUGUCCAAACUGUAUCAUUUAGAGGAAGUAAAANUCGUANCA
Molecule: ribosomal RNA, 327 nt
Filed under: uncultured eukaryote
Lineage: Eukaryota
Description: partial 18S ribosomal RNA
Rfam family: Eukaryotic small subunit ribosomal RNA
Source: RNAcentral